AGCCGGGUUCUGUCGUGGACAAUCAUUCCUCUAGGCGUACAUUUACAUAUACGCUCAAGCAACCUACCCGAACUCUCAGCGGGCCACCGAUUGAGUUCCUAUCCGGUCUUGCUACGAGUGGAGUUUACCCUGCUGUGGAAUGUUACCACCCACACGGUGCGCUCUUACCGCACCCUUGGGGGGGGUAGAAAAAAACCAGCUGUCUGCUCUCUGUUGCACUGGUCGUAAGCUCACGCCCCCCGGACGUUAUCCGGCACUCUGCCCUGUGUAGCCCGGACUUUCCUCCCCA
This 289-nucleotide non-coding RNA is filed under the name Pasteurellaceae bacterium I49. The record is from RNAcentral. Lineage: Bacteria; Pseudomonadati; Pseudomonadota; Gammaproteobacteria; Pasteurellales; Pasteurellaceae.